RNAcentral lists this ribosomal RNA (1350 nucleotides) under Phyxelida tanganensis. RNAcentral's name for it is "SSU rRNA". It matches the Rfam family "Eukaryotic small subunit ribosomal RNA", at positions 414 to 1786 of the family's 1831-position model. Lineage: Eukaryota; Metazoa; Arthropoda; Arachnida; Araneae; Phyxelididae. The record is from RNAcentral.
AUCCAAGGAAGGCAGCAGGCGCGCAAAUUACCCACUCCCGGAACGGGGAGGUAGUGACGAAAAAUAACAAUACGGGACUCUUUUGAGACCCCGUAAUUGGAAUGAGUACACUCUAAAUCCUUUAACGAGGAUCCAUUGGAGGGAAAGUCUGGUGCCAGCAGCUGCGGUAACUCCAGCUCCAAUAGCGUAUAUUAAAGUUGUUGCGGUUAAAAAGCUCGUAGUUGGAUCUCAGUUCGAGACGGGUAGUCCACCUACCGGUGGUCACCGCCUGUUCUCAACACCGGCCGGUUUCCCUGGAUGAUCUUCACCGGUUGUCUUGGGUGACCGGCAAGUUUACUUUGAAAAAAUUAGAGUGCUCAGAGCAGGCGCGACGCCUGGAUAAUGGUGCAUGGAAUAAUGGAAUAGGACCUCGGUUCUAUUGUGUUGGUUUUCGGAACACGAGGUAAUGAUUAAGAGGGACAGACGGGGGCAUUCGUAUUGCGACGCUAGAGGUGAAAUUCUUGGACCGCCGCACGACGAACUACUGCGAAAGCAUUUGCCAAGAAUGUUUCCAUUAAUCAAGAACGAAAGUUAGAGGUUCGAAGGCGAUCAGAUACCGCCCUAGUUCUAACCAUAAACGAUGCCAGCCAGCGAUCCGGCUGUGUUCCUCAAAUGACACGCCGGGCAGCUUCGGGGAAACCAAAGCUUUUGGGUUCCGGGGGGAGUAUGGUUGCAAAGGUUAAACUUAAAGGAAUUGACGGAAGCGCACACAAGGAAUGGGGCCUGCGGCUUAAUUUGACUCAACACGGCAAAACUCACCCGGCCCGGACACAGGAAGGAUUGACAGAUUAAGAGCUCUUUCUUGAUUCUUCGGGGGGUGGUGCAUGGCCGUUCUUAGUUGGUGGAGCGAUUUGUCUGGUUAAUUCCGAUAACGAACGAGACCCUAGCCUACUAAAUAGACGUUCCGAUCAUCUAUGUCGGACGGUCUUCUUAGAGGGACAAGCGGCGUUUAGCCGCACGAGACAGAGCAAUAACAGGUCUGUGAUGCCCUUCGAUGUCCGGGGCCGCACGCGCGCCACAUUGAAGGAAUCAUCGUGUGCUUUCCCUGUCCGACAGGAUUGGGUAACCCGGUGAACCUCCUUCGUGCUGGGGAUAGGGGCUUGUAAUUGUUCCCCUUGAACGAGGAAUUCCCAGUAAGCACGAGUCAUCAGCUCGUGUUGAUUACGUCCCUGCCCUUUGUGCACACCGCCCGUCGCUACUCCCGAUUGAAUAAUUUAGUGAGGUCAUCGGACUGGCGCACGGACCGGCCUUCUGGUCGCGCCGGUGCUGCAUCGGAAAGUUGACCAAACUUGAUCAUUUAGAGGGAGUAAA